GAUGAACGCUGGCGGCGUGCCUAAUACAUGCAAGUCGAGCGAACAGAUAAGGAGCUUGCUCCUUUGACGUUAGCGGCGGACGGGUGAGUAACACGUGGGUAACCUACCUAUAAGACUGGGAUAACUUCGGGAAACCGGAGCUAAUACCGGAUAACAUUUGGAACCGCAUGGUUCUAAAGUGAAAGAUGGUUUUGCUAUCACUUAUAGAUGGACCCGCGCCGUAUUAGCUAGUUGGUAAGGUAACGGCUUACCAAGGCAACGAUACGUAGCCGACCUGAGAGGGUGAUCGGCCACACUGGAACUGAGACACGGUCCAGACUCCUACGGGAGGCAGCAGUAGGGAAUCUUCCGCAAUGGGCGAAAGCCUGACGGAGCAACGCCGCGUGAGUGAUGAAGGGUUUCGGCUCGUAAAACUCUGUUAUUAGGGAAGAACAAAUGUGUAAGUAACUGUGCACGUCUUGACGGUACCUAAUCAGAAAGCCACGGCUAACUGCGUG
Molecule: ribosomal RNA, 497 nt
Filed under: uncultured bacterium
Lineage: Bacteria
Description: partial 16S ribosomal RNA
Rfam family: Bacterial small subunit ribosomal RNA
Source: RNAcentral